CUGCAAGUGUAAUUAUUGCAGUUUUUAUAAACUGCAAUAAUACCCUUGCAGGGUUAAGUCCUCCUCUAGUGGCUAUCUAUCAGACAGCCACUAGAGGGACUUCUGGGUUCUUAAACAACUUUUUG
This is a non-coding RNA of Pelobates cultripes (western spadefoot toad), 125 nucleotides long. The record is from the annotation of a GenBank genome assembly. NCBI's taxonomy places the organism in Eukaryota, Metazoa, Chordata, Amphibia, Anura, Pelobatidae.